Molecule: non-coding RNA, 162 nt
Filed under: uncultured Clostridium sp.
Lineage: Bacteria; Bacillati; Bacillota; Clostridia; Eubacteriales; Clostridiaceae
Source: RNAcentral
GGAAUAGUUCUGAUUAAAUUAAAAGGGAAAGCAGUUAAAAUCUGCUACAGCCCCCGCUACUGUAAUGGAGGACUACCUCAAGAUAUCCACUGGGAUUUUAUAUCUUGGGAAGGAUGAGUGUUAAGGAUGAUACCAGAGUCAGGAGACCUGCCUGUAAUUAUU